RNAcentral lists this long non-coding RNA (4559 nucleotides) under Sus scrofa (pig). RNAcentral describes it as "lncRNA (ENSSSCG00000044421.2)". Lineage: Eukaryota; Metazoa; Chordata; Mammalia; Artiodactyla; Suidae. The record is from RNAcentral.
AUGCUGUAAAGCCUUUAUUUACAUUGUGAAAGUGGAGCCUGCUUGGACAGGGUCUGCUCUAAAUUUUAGUUCUCUCACAGUCAGCUCCCUACAGACACAAACAUAUGAUAUGGCAUUUGUUAUGGAGCAGAUAUUUCCUUUGUGGGAUUGCUAAUUAUACCUAAGGGAACAGAAGACCUCCCUGAGAGUAGAAACAUGAUGUGGUAAGAGUGAUAAACUAUGGAGCUUGACCGACACACAGAGAAGAAAGAUGGAAGAAAUCAAGGACUGUAAACAAUUCUAAAAAAUGUCUUAGAAUAUACACUGACACUUCCAGAUGGAUCUCUUAACUCCAACUUCCUUGACAUUUAUGUGCUUAUUUUCUUCUCCAAAAUCUCUGUAUUUUGCUUGUGGUGGAAGACACACAGCAACUCUCAAUGACACUGACGCCCACGUUGAGCACUGCACCACCCUGUGGCUCCUUUUGUGGCCAUACAGCAGCUAGCAUUUUCCUCUGGCCAUAUUGCAGCCUGAAAGUCAGCCAGUUGGAUAUGAAAUUAUUUUUCAGCACAUGAAUGUGCAAGAUGGGCAUUGGGGACAUGAUAGUGAGUGAGAUAAAGCUGGCUUCUGCCCACUUGGAGCUUAUCAUCUGACAAAGAAGAAGUGUGAUUCUAAGUAGGAUCCUAUGCGGGAGUUCAGAAUUUAGUGGCAGCAUGUAAUUAGAUGAUUCCCUUUAGCCAGGACACCAGGUCAACUGGCCUGUGUAUUAGUGGUUAUAAUAAUAUAACUAUAGAAAUAACUACCAUUUAUUGCAAGGGUAUAAUACAUAAAGUACUAUUCAAAGACCCAUACAACACCUUGAAUUCUUACACAGUUCUGUGGUAUAGGUAACAAAUUACACAUAUGAUAUCUGCUUCGGAAAUAUGUUGUGAUCCCCACACCAUCACAUGACUGGUAGGUAGCAGAGCUAGGACUAAAAUUUGUGUUUGCCUGGAUGGGGAGCCCCGAUGUUUUCCCUUGUGCCGUAUUUAUUUUUUUUUGGGGGGGGGUGAAAUGAGAGUGUGAAGCUCUACAUCCUGAGCUUGUAGUGAGUGAGGAUUGUGUAUCAUAAUGUAUUUUUUAAAAAGCCCUACAGGGUCUUACAUAUGAUUAGGUUAGAUCUCUUCGAUCUCUUUAAUGUCUACAUCUCAGAACUGAGGUAUUCGGGGGUAUUUUCCUUAACACUUUUCGUGACUUUCCCAUCUUUUUAAUGGUAGCCCUGAUCAUGUUUCUACAACUUACCUCUUCCCAUCACCACUUGUUGUUCCUAAUAAUAAUGGUAAUGAUAAUAAAAUAAGAACAGUACCAAUGAUGGCAUUAAUUAAACAUUUACUAUGUUCUGUGUAGUAUGCAAAUAUUAUCUAGUUUACUCUAAGUAGCCUGCCUGACAGUUAUUUUAAGUAUCCAUGUUUGGAGAUGAGAAAACUAGAACAGAGAGAGCACAGUGAGUUGUCCAUGAUUCUAUGGCAAGUAAAUGUCAGAGCUGGGUUCGAAUCAGGGUGGUCUAUCUGCAGACCCCAUAUCCUUCAUAAUUAUGUUCAUCACUUACUUCUGUUGUCAUUACUCAAGGAUAAUGCAAGGAUCCCACAAUGUUCCAUAAGUUUAAAAUUCUUAAACUUACAAAUGAUCUUCAGUUAGACAAUUAAAAUAGAUUGUAUGACAGAAGGCUGAGAGAAAAAUCAUUCUCCCCUAAACACACACUUACCUGAACAAGUCCUGGUUCAUAGUCACAGAAAUUAUCUUAACUGUAAAUAAGAGCUUUGGAGAAUUUAAAGUUUCAAGUCAGGGUCAAGGAUUAAGGCUAUUUAGAGCAGAGGCAAAUAUCCCUGAGAGAAAAGCAUAAAGCAUAAAGCAUAUUCCCAUGGGAAUAUAAAAGGGACACAAUGGUGGGAAAAAGUCGGGUUAUUUGAUACAGGCUGAAGGGACUAUAUGGGGACCAGAAAGGAAGUGAUGGUCAGUGGGCAUCAAGUUUCAAAGCCAUGAAGUCAUCUAAGCCAUGGAAGAGCUGGCCAGGAACUGAGUGUGCAGAAGAAAGUUUGCUUUCUUGCUUUUUAGGAGUAAUUUUUUGAAAAGAAUAUCAGAGGCAUACCUGAUACCACUAAAUGCCACACUCUGAAUGUAUGAAAGUGGCGGGAAAUGUAUUUUAAUCUGAACCUUCAGGAAGUACCUGGAGAAAUUAGGGUAAAAGAAAAAUAUAUUUUAUCCUUAAUUAGUGGGGUAUUAAGGAAGGACCAAGAAAAGUACAAGAAAUAUACUAUAAAUAAAAUAAGAAGGACCAAGAAAUAUAUUUGAGGAUUUUUGCUAUGAUAAGCUGCUCUAUAUCAAAUGAACCAAAAUGAUUUGUAAAUACACAAGUUUCCCUAGAGUUUGUCAUAUUUUGAUAAGGCCAGCACAUCUCCUCCAUGGCUUCAGAAUUGCUAUGUGCCUGCUUCAGGCAGAUACCCUUAGCCCCUGGGCUCCAGAAACUUCCCAAUAAUUUUCUCUCCCUUUCAUCUUUCCAGCCUGGUGUGGUGAUGGCUUCCUGCUACUGCCCAUCUAAAGUCACCUCACUGCAGUUAUCACCAACUCUUAACAUCUGGGUAAAUGAUUUCCUACAUUUGAUUUCCUCUGUUGUCCUUAAAGCGUUCCUUUGUUAUGAGGAGGGUAAGUGCAUUACCUUUCUAGGGAUGCUGUGACAAACUGCCACAAACUGGGCUGUUUUAAACAACAGACAUUUAUUCUCUGACAGGUUAGGACAUCACAAGUCUAAAACUGAGGCAACAGAGUUUCCUGAGGGCUCAGCAAGUUAAGGGUCUUGCGUUGUCACUGCUGUAGCUUGGGUCACUGCUGUGGGGGUGGGUUUGAUUCCUGCCCUAGAACUUCCACAUGCCAUGGAUACAGCUGAAACAAACAAACAAACAAACAAACAAAACCAAGGCAUCAGUAGAGAUGGUUCCUUCUGGAGGCUCCGAGGGAGAAUCUGUUCCAUGAUUCUCUCCUAACUUCUAGUGAUUGCCCACAGUCCUUGACAUUCUUUGGCUUGAAGGUGCAUCUCUUCAAUCUCUGCAUCCAUCUUCACAAGGCUUCUCCUCUGUGUUUCUCUGUCUCAGCUCUUCCUCUACUUUUUAUAAGGAUGUUAGUCAUUGGAUUUAGGGUCUAAUCUAUACCUAAGAUCCUUAAUUUAUUACAUCUGCAAAGACCCUAUUUUUCAAAUAAGGUCACAUCCAUAAAAACCAGGAGUUAAGACUUGGACAUAUCUUUUGGGAGUCACUGUUCAACUCAUAAAUUUUCCUCCAUUUUUCUGUUUAGAUGCCAAGAGACACAGAAUGGCCCCCACUCUCACAUUCUAAAAUGGCAUUGUCUAAUCAAAUUUUCUAUGAUGAUGGAAAUAUUUUCUGUCUGUACUGUCCAAUUUGGUAACCAUUAGACAUGUGUGCCUACUGAGUACCUGAAAUGCCGUUAGUGUAGCUAACUGAAUUUUUAAACUUUUUCAUCUUAAUUUAAAUUUCAGUCAUUACGUGUGUUUGGAAGCUAUUGUAGACAUAUAUUGCUGGGACAGCAGAGAAGUUCUAUAGCGAAGGAUUGACAGACACCCAUCACACUAGUUCCAAUGUAGUGAGUGUCAGGAGGCUACAGACUUGGGGAAAAGCAGUCAGAGAUAGAGUCACAAAAGCAAUGACAUUGGAGUCAUAACGAUAGUCACCAUGCUUUGCCAGGUUGGAAAGAGGCUUUCAGCUACCAAAAUAACAGGCAUGAAGGCAUGGAAUGGAAGGAUUUAUCAUAUAACAUCUAGUGUGUGUAGUCCCAGAGGAAAUGAGGCUGCAGAGUUUACUUGUAGAUAACUCAAUUGUCAUAUAGGAAAAUUUGAACUUUGCCCAUGGUGUAAAACAAGAAAGUGGAAAGUUCAUAGUAUUUUUCCUGCUUGAUGUAUGAUUGAUAAAUAAAAUGGAUAUAUGUGUUUAAGGUAUACAACAUGAUGGUGUAAUAAUAGUAUCCAUUGUGAAAUGAUUACCACAAUCAAGCUAAUUAACAUAUCCAUCACGUCACAUAGUUACCACUUUUGUGUGUGUGGUGAGAACACUUAGGAUCUACUCUCUUAGCAAAUUUCAAAUAUACAAUACGGUGUUACUAAUGAGAGUCAUCAUGCUGGACAAUAGAUAUCCAAAAAUUUAUUCAUACUGUAUAACCAAAACUUGGUACCCUCUGACCAAUAUCUAUCUCCCCUACUCUUAGCUCCUGGCAGCCACCAUUCCACAUCCUGCUUUUGCAAUAUGACUUUCUUAGAUUCUACUUGUAAAGGAAGAUCUUACUUAUUUUUAAAAGGUAGCAUUACCUGGAAAUAGGAUCGAGGAUGAGGUGAAGUAAGGGAAGCCCAGAACAGUUUCUUGUUCUACUUCCUCACUAGGAAUCUGUAUGGCAUAUGCCAAACACUACAAUUAUCCAAAUUUGAGCGAUGAGGAAACCGUGUUGAGUUUACUGCAUAACAGAAUCGGGUACAUGUUUCCAUUCUGUAUGUGCAGACUGCUUAGUAAAAGCAUUUCAUUUUGUAGAGGAUUAAAGUC